GACGAACCGUGCGAACGUUGUUCGGAAUCACUGGGCUUAAAGGGCGCGUAGGCGGAUCGUCGAGUCCGGGGUGAAAGCUUUCGGCUUAACCGGAAAAGGGCCUUGGAUACCGACGGUCUGGAGGGAGGUAGGGGCAUGCGGAACUUCCGGUGGAGCGGUGAAAUGCGUUGAUAUCGGAAGGAACGCCGGUGGCGAAAGCGGCGUGCUGGACCUCUGCUGACGCUGAGGCGCGAAAGCCAGGGGAGCGAACGGG
Molecule: ribosomal RNA, 253 nt
Filed under: uncultured bacterium
Lineage: Bacteria
Description: partial 16S ribosomal RNA
Rfam family: Bacterial small subunit ribosomal RNA
Source: RNAcentral